RNAcentral lists this ribosomal RNA (112 nucleotides) under uncultured eukaryote. RNAcentral describes it as "partial small subunit ribosomal RNA". It matches the Rfam family "Eukaryotic small subunit ribosomal RNA", at positions 1676 to 1785 of the family's 1831-position model. The record is from RNAcentral.
UCGCUCCUACCGAUUGAAUGUUCCGGUGAAGAAUCGGGAGGGUUUCUGAGCAGGUCGAAAGGCUUUUUCGGGAACUUGAACCUUUCUAAAUCUUAGCAUUUAGAGGAAGGAG